GCUCUGGGACUGGAGCCUUCUAAACCUUCCUGCCCCUUCGCCUAAAUGGCUGAGCCUUUUCUGUACUCCUAAAUGGACAUUGGAAAUAGUACUCAAAAGCAUGAGUUGCCUUUUUUUUUUCAUUGUAUUUGCCUCUCAGAAGGCUUUCUUUUAGAUGGACUUAUGGAAGAGACUUUCUUCUCUGGCCCGGCAAGAAAACUGCUCUCUGGUUUACAGAACUUAGAUGUAACGGGGAGCCUUCCUUCCACCAGCACUGAAGAAGCACUUCCUUUGAAAGAAGAUUCUGGAAAUGUAGUGGAAGACCUUGCGACCUCACAUCUAUCACCUGUCUACCCCAUUCCUCCUCAGGAGUACCUGGUAAAGACAUGUGGAGAAGAGCUAGAAAGUGAGAAUGGAAUCCCAUUUAUCCACAGUAGCCCAACUAUAGCUAUUAAGGAGUUGUAGUACUGUUCACUGCUUCUGCCUGUGGUGUCUAUUUCUUCCCUCUUUGUCAAAGUCACUUUCAGGUGCCUUAACCUCUUCCAGAUCUAAGCUUUCUGACUGACAUGUUUAAGAAAGUGAAAUAAAAAUGUGUAUACUACCCUA
Molecule: long non-coding RNA, 585 nt
Filed under: Mus pahari (shrew mouse)
Lineage: Eukaryota; Metazoa; Chordata; Mammalia; Rodentia; Muridae
Description: lncRNA (MGP_PahariEiJ_G0004746.1)
Source: RNAcentral